Molecule: ribosomal RNA, 483 nt
Filed under: uncultured bacterium
Lineage: Bacteria
Description: partial 16S ribosomal RNA
Rfam family: Bacterial small subunit ribosomal RNA
Source: RNAcentral
GACGAACGCUGGCGGCGUGCUUAACACAUGCAAGUCGAGCGAGACCCCGCUUUCGGGUGGGUGUUCUAGCGGCGAACGGGUGAGUAACACGUGGGCAACCUGCCCUCGGCUCUGGGAUAACUCCAAGAAAUUGGGGCUAAUACCGGAUAUGACCGCUGACCGCAUGGUCUGGUGGUGGAAAGAUUUAUCGGCUGGGGAUGGGCCCGCGGCCUAUCAGCUUGUUGGUGGGGUAGUGGCCUACCAAGGCGACGACGGGUAGCCGGCCUGAGAGGGUGACCGGCCACACUGGGACUGAGACACGGCCCAGACUCCUACGGGAGGCAGCAGUGGGGAAUAUUGCGCAAUGGGCGAAAGCCUGACGCAGCGACGCCGCGUGGGGGAUGACGGCCUUCGGGUUGUAAACCUCUUUCAGCAGGGACGAAGUGAAAGUGACGGUACCUGCAGAAGAAGCACCGGCCAACUACGUGCCAGCCGCCGCCGUAA